UCGGGAAUCUUCCGCAAUGGGCGAAAGCCUGACGGAGCGACGCCGCGUGAGUGAUGAAGGCCUUCGGGUUGUAAAGCUCUGUGGGGAGAGAAGAAUAAGUUCAAGCGAAUACCUUGAAUGAUGACGGUAUCUCCUUAGCAAGCACCGGCUAACUCUGUGCCAGCAGCCGCGGUAAGACAGAGGGUGCAAACGUUGUUCGGAUUUACUGGGCGUAAAGCGCGUGUAGGCGGCUUUGCAAGUCGGAUGUGAAAGCCCACGGCUCAACCGUGGAAGUGCAUCCGAAACUGCAUGGCUGGAGUCCCGGAGAGGAAGGUGGAAUGCUUGGUGUAGAGGUGAAAUUCGUAGAUAUCAAGCAGAACACCUGCGGCGAAGGCGGCCUUCUGGACGGUGACUGACGCUG
Molecule: ribosomal RNA, 400 nt
Filed under: uncultured bacterium
Lineage: Bacteria
Description: bacterial SSU rRNA
Rfam family: Bacterial small subunit ribosomal RNA
Source: RNAcentral